This 564-nucleotide ribosomal RNA is filed under the name uncultured bacterium. RNAcentral describes it as "bacterial SSU rRNA". It matches the Rfam family "Bacterial small subunit ribosomal RNA", at positions 338 to 916 of the family's 1533-position model. The record is from RNAcentral.
CCUACGGGAGGCAGCAGUGGGGAAUCUUGCGCAAUGGGCGAAAGCCUGACGCAGCAACGCCGCGUGCGGGAAGAAGGCCUUCGGGUUGUAAACCGCUUUCAGCAGGAACGAAAAUGACGGUACCUGCAGAAGAAGGAGCGGCCAACUACGUGCCAGCAGCCGCGGUGACACGUAGGCUCCAAGCGUUGUCCGGAUUUAUUGGGCGUAAAGAGCUCGUAGGCGGUUCAGUAAGUCGGGUGUGAAAACUCUGGGCUCAACCCAGAGCCUGCAUUCGAAACUGCUGUGACUAGAGUUUGGUAGGGGUAGCGGGGAAUUCCUAGUGUAGCGGUGAAAUGCGCAGAUAUUAGGAGGAACACCGGUGGCGAAAGCGCCGCUCUGGGCCAAUACUGACGCUGAGGAGCGAAAGCGUGGGUAGCAAACAGGAUUAGAUACCCUGGUAGUCCACGCCGUAAACGAUGGGCACUAGGUGUGGGUUUCAACUAACGAAAUCCGUGCCGUCGCUAACGCAUUAAGUGCCCCGCCUGGGGAGUACGGUCGCAAGACUAAAACUCAAAGGAUUGACGG